AGUGAACGCUGGCGGUAGGCCUAACACAUGCAAGUCGAACGGCAGCACAGUAAGAGCUUGCUCUUACGGGUGGCGAGUGGCGGACGGGUGAGGAAUACAUCGGAAUCUACUUUUUCGUGGGGGAUAACGUAGGGAAACUUACGCUAAUACCGCAUACGAACUACGGGUGAAAGCAGGGGAUCUUCGGACCUUGCGCGAUUGAAUGAGCCGAUGUCGGAUUAGCUAGUUGGCGGGGUAAAGGCCCACCAAGGCGACGAACCGUAGCUGGGCUGAGAUGAGGAUCAGCCACACUGGAACUGAGACACGGUCCAGACUCCUACGGGAGGCAGCAGUGGGGAAUAUUAGACAAGGGGAGCAAGCCUGAUCCAGCCAUACCGCGUGGAUGAAGAAGUCCUUCGGGUUGUAAAGCCCUUUUGUUGGGAAAGAAAAGCAGCAGGUUAAUACCCCGCUGUUCUGACGGUACCCAAAGAAUAAGCACCGGCUAACUUCGUG
This 492-nucleotide ribosomal RNA is filed under the name uncultured bacterium. RNAcentral describes it as "partial 16S ribosomal RNA". It matches the Rfam family "Bacterial small subunit ribosomal RNA", at positions 29 to 507 of the family's 1533-position model. The record is from RNAcentral.